GAUGAAGAACGUAGCGAAAUGCGAUAAGUAAUGUGAAUUGCAGAAUUCAGUGAAUCAUCGAGUCUUUGAACGCACAUUGCGCCCCCUGGUAUUCCGGGCGGCAUGCCUGUCCGAGCGUCAUUGCUGCCCUCAAGCACGGCUUGUGUGUUGGGCCGUCGUCCCCCUCCUAGGGGACGGGCCCGAAAGGCAGCGGCGGCACCGCGUCCGGUCCUCGAGCGUAUGGGGCUUCGUCACCCGCUCCGUAGGCCCGGCCGGCGCUUGCCGACGACCAUCAAUCUCUUUCUCCAGGUUGACCUCGGAUCAGGUAGGGAUACCCGCUGAACUUAAGCAUAUCAAUAAGCGGAGGA
This 347-nucleotide unclassified non-coding RNA is filed under the name soil metagenome. Its description in RNAcentral is "partial contains 5.8S ribosomal RNA, internal transcribed spacer 2, and large subunit ribosomal RNA". The stretch from base 1 to 120 matches the Rfam family "5.8S ribosomal RNA", at positions 35 to 154 of the family's 154-position model. The record is from RNAcentral.